This 554-nucleotide ribosomal RNA is filed under the name Penicillium citreonigrum. Its description in RNAcentral is "eukaryotic LSU rRNA". The stretch from base 177 to 330 matches the Rfam family "5.8S ribosomal RNA". Lineage: Eukaryota; Fungi; Ascomycota; Eurotiomycetes; Eurotiales; Aspergillaceae. The record is from RNAcentral.
AGGUAACGUGUGAGGGCUCUGGGUCCACCUCCCACCCGUGUUUAUCGUACCUUGUUGCUUCGGCGGGCCCGCCGCAAGGCCGCCGGGGGGCAUCUGCCCUCUGGCCCGCGCCCGCCGAAGACACCAUUGAACGCUGUCUGAAGAUUGCAGUCUGAGCAAUUAGUUAAAUAACUUAAAACUUUCAACAACGGAUCUCUUGGUUCCGGCAUCGAUGAAGAACGCAGCGAAAUGCGAUACGUAAUGUGAAUUGCAGAAUUCAGUGAAUCAUCGAGUCUUUGAACGCACAUUGCGCCCCCUGGUAUUCCGGGGGGCAUGCCUGUCCGAGCGUCAUUGCUGCCCUCAAGCACGGCUUGUGUGUUGGGCUCCGUCCUCCUUCCGGGGGACGGGCCCGAAAGGCAGCGGCGGCACCGCGUCCGGUCCUCGAGCGUAUGGGGCUUCGUCACCCGCUCUGCAGGCCCGGCCGGCGCUUGCCGACACAUCAAUCUUUUUUCCAGGUUGACCUCGGAUCAGGUAGGGAUACCCGCUGAACUUAAGCAUAUCAAAAGCCGGAGGAA